UCAACGGGAGGCAGCAGUGGGGAAUAUUGGACAUGGGGGGAACCUGAUCCAGCCAUGCCGCGUGUGUGAAGAAGGCCUUAUGGUUGUAAAGCACUUUAAGCGAGGAGGAGGCUACUGAGACUAAUACUCUUGGAUAGUGGACGUUACUCGCAGAAUAAGCACCGGCUAACUCUGUGCCAGCAGCCGCGGUAAUA
RNAcentral lists this ribosomal RNA (194 nucleotides) under uncultured Gammaproteobacteria bacterium. RNAcentral's name for it is "partial 16S ribosomal RNA". It matches the Rfam family "Bacterial small subunit ribosomal RNA", at positions 338 to 525 of the family's 1533-position model. Lineage: Bacteria; Pseudomonadati; Pseudomonadota; Gammaproteobacteria. The record is from RNAcentral.